This is an unclassified non-coding RNA of Stegodyphus dumicola, 3508 nucleotides long. Lineage: Eukaryota; Metazoa; Arthropoda; Arachnida; Araneae; Eresidae. The record is from RefSeq and is a predicted model, not a curated record.
UGUAUCAACUUUCUGCUUUAUAUAGAAUCUGUGAUAAGUAAGGAGGAAACUGCCAAAAUACAAGCUUUUCUUGAAAAUGAACAGAAACGAAAAAUGCGAUUUAAAGGGAAAAAUCCUGCACGAGUGAAAAAUAUUGGACGUUUUCAAAGACCACAUCAAACAUUUUCAGGCAUGCCAGCUCAGCAAACACAGUAUGCACCGUCUAAUACUUCUCAGAUGGCUCCAACUACUUCUACACAACCCCGCAAAAUUCUUAUUAAUCCUCACUUCAGAGGAUUGCGUUUACCUCCACCUACUUCAGACCAAGUUCACACCAUAGAAGAAACUCCACAGGUAUCAGUGCCACCUGUAAGCUAUGAAACAUCCCAAAAUUUUCCACCUCCUACUUAUUCUCAUGAACUUCCUCCUCAAAUGCCAGCUGCACCACCUGUUUUCAGUACUCCCCCACCUUCAGUUCCAUAUAAACAGCCAGAUUAUUCAUCAUCUCAUAUCCAACAGCCUCCACCAUCAAUGUGGCCAACUACACCAGAUAUGACUCCUAACACAUACACAGCUCCUCCUCCUGUUUUAAACUACACAGAUCAUUUAACACAGGUGCCACCAAAUUAUCAUAGUAACUAUACUCUUAAUAAUUUUCCAACUACAAGUUAUCAAAGCACUCCAGUGCCUUUGCCUCAGACAGUUAACUAUAGUCAGAUGCCACCACCCAUUCAUGUUCAGUCUUCAUCUUAUGCCCCACCACCUGUAGUUAGUGCACCACCAACCUAUGUGACAGCGAUGCAUUAUUCAAAUAACCAGCAAAGAUCUCAAGAACUAAAUUUUCACCAGCAGUAUCAUGAUCAUGGGAAAGCACAGCAUUCAACGACUCAACAUAUUCAGAGAAACAAAUUUUCUCAAAAUCAGCGGUUCUCUAGGCCUGAGAAAAGACCUUCUAAUUCCAAUAUUAAGGCAGUACCUAUAAAGCAGCUCCGCAUGGAACAUCCUCAAAAAAAAACAAAUAUUCAUGUAAAUAAUUCAAAUAUCAGAGAAAUUCCUCUUGUCGACACAUUGCCUUCUACUACUGUUAAAGAGGAAGUGAAGAAACCUGUUCCUAUAGUAGAAGAAGAGGAUGAAAAAACCAAAGAAUUAAGAAUGAAAAUUGAAGAACAGAAACUACUUAGAGCACAAAUAUUAAAGCAUAAAGAAGAGCGACGGCGGCAAAUGGCUGCUCAAAGACUUUUGGAGCUGAAAAAAAGACAAGCUGAGCAAAAUAAAAAUAUUGUGACUAUCACUCAAAAACCAGAACAGCAAAAUUUAAUAAAAGUCCCCCAGGCACAAGUUGCACUCCAAACUAAAAUUAGUGUUAAGGAACGAAUAGGAUUACCACCAAAUAAGACUGCAGUUCCUAUGAAGAAAAAAAUUAUUGUUGUAAGGAAAAAGGUUCCUCCAGUUUCUAACACUGCUGCUGUUCCACCUGAAGCAAAAAAUAUACCAAAUGUUGGACAAAAACGAGGUUUGCAGACUGUUACACAAUCCCAAAAGAUGCAAUUACAAAAUAAAACUGCUGGAAUGAAACCAAAUAAAGUAUCUAAACCUAGUGUUGUUUCUACUCAACCAGUGCAAGACUCAUCAGUGCAGAAAAAUUUGCCUGAAAAUAAAUCUGAAACUGCUAAACCUGAGAUGAAAGUUAAUGUAGUUGCUAAUGAAAAGAAGUGUAAUCAAGUUGCUUCACAGCCUCCAAAAGGGAAAAUGAUACGUCUUCCAACACGAAGACAGCCCUUUCAAAGACCACCUUUUCAUGCUCCAUUGAAUAUUCCCAAUCAGAGAAUGCCUGGACCUAGGUUUGCUGGGCCAAGGGGUCCACAAUUCCAUUCGCCUCCUUUUAUGGAACAUCGAAUGAGAUUUCCUGGCCAUGGCCCUCCCAUGAAUGAUAUGCGAAUGCCUCCCCCUCCAUUUCAAGAACCUCGUCCACCUAUAUUACCAUAUAUGCCACCUGGUGAACGUGGUCCUUUCAACCAGUUUUUUCCACCAGAUGGUCCAUUUGAAGGAAAUAAACCCCCUUUUCGUAUGAGAGCUCCAGGAUUUCAAAACUUUCCUCCAAGGAGCAUGGAUAUGUUCCGUGAAAGAUUCCCUCCACCCCAGUUUCCAAACCAGAUGCCACCAAUGCGGCAAAUGUUUGAAAGGAAUGGUCCAGGGUUUCAGAGACCUCGCUUUCAAAAUUUAAAUGCAAAGAAAAAGCCACUGCCUGCAAAGCCAAUUCCCAAUCAGCAAAAACCUUCAAAUGGUUACAAAAGUACACAGCCCAAAGAAUUGAGUGUUGCUAGUGAUUCACAAGUAGUAGCAAACCAAAAUACUGCACCAAAACAAGUCAUUACACUUACAACAAAAAGUUCAGAGGAGAAGCAGGUUAUAAAACUGAACACAAAAAGUGUCUUAUCUGAGAAUCUAAAUAUUCCAAAAACACAGUCAGUCUCAGUUGAAAAUUUAUCCUCUUCAACAAAUGAAAUGCAGUUAAAGAAACUGUGCUCAUCAGUUGGUGUUGUAGAGAAUAUUCAGCUCUUGAAAGCUGAACGAAAAGCCAUAAUUAAGUUCAAGGAACCUAUACAAGCACUUAAUUUUCAAAAGAAGUACCAGAGGUACAUGCUGGACCUUGCUAUGAUCCAGGUGUCAUUGAUUUCUGAAUAACCUUUUAUGUGAAGUUACUGUUUUCUGACAGUUCGAAUUGUGUUGUAAAAAAAAGUGUGAACUGACUGAAGUGUGAAAUAUUUUUAUUCUAAGAAAUGGAUCUGUUAAUGUAAUAUCACUUAUUAUGAAUUAUAUGAUAAAUAUGAAUAAACACCUGAUGGAACAUUAUGAUCAUUAUUCAACUAACAUUCCAUGUUUUCUGAAGCCCUAAAGAAGAAUAGUAUUAUAAAAAAAAAAAACAUGCUUUCAUCUCUUUCAUACUUCAAGAUUUCAUAUGAAUAUUUUUCUGGAGGAACAAUUUUUAAGGAAGUUAUUGUUUUGAAUUGCAUUAAGCAUUUUGAUGCAAAACAGUGACAGUUACACUUGAGGAAUAAAUACAAGUUGUGAUGUCUACAAGGAUGUUAAUCAAUUGCAAUGUCUGACAUAAAUUUGAAGUCAUGAAAAGCAAUGAUUGUGAAUCUUCAGACCACCUAGUUUUCUUCUGUGUGUAAGAAAAUGACUAUAUAUCUAUAUUGACUGUGAUAUGUUCAGCAUAAUAAACUGUGAUAUGAUUAUUUUAUGACUGUGAUAUAUUAAGCAUGUAUUAUUAUUUUUAAAAGUUUAACUUUGGAUGUAAAGUAUUUUGAAGGCAAACUUUUCUUAGACAAAUAUAUCUGUAAAAUACCUGAAACAUAUGAAUUCAUAAACAUCCAUUCAUCAUGUUUAUAAUCUUUGAUUGUUGCAUGCAGCUGUUAUUUUAUGCAUAUUUUUAAUACGUUUUGUACAUAUAUGCAUAUAUAUUUAUUCCUUAAUAAAUAUUGUAUGUAUUUGUUGAAUUUUAUUAAAUAUAUAAUUUGUUGGCUUA